GACGUUAUUCAUAUUCAAAAAUUACUUUUAAAUUCAAAAUAAGACCGUGAGAGCCAAUCAUUCUGGUUUAACAGCAUGGUCAGAGUCAAUAAAACGAGAGCGUGAGACUAAGUCUUUUUAUAAAUAAUUUCUACUGUAGAAUAUUUUGACCAAUAAGAUUACACUAAUUAUCUAUCGAAUCUCCGAAGUUUGAUAUGUUACAUACUGAUAUCCCUUUAUCAAAUAUCUUUAUUAAUAUUAUGUUU
Molecule: long non-coding RNA, 245 nt
Filed under: Lathyrus oleraceus (garden pea)
Lineage: Eukaryota; Viridiplantae; Streptophyta; Magnoliopsida; Fabales; Fabaceae
Description: Pisum sativum (pea) long non-coding RNA (PSAT_LNC029725)
Source: RNAcentral